GAUAUGUAAUGUGAAUUGCAGAUUUUCAGUGAAUCAUCGAAUCUUUGAACGCACCUUGCGCUCCUUGGUAUUCCGAGGAGCAUGCCUGUUUGAGUGUCAU
Molecule: ribosomal RNA, 100 nt
Filed under: Hygrophoropsis aurantiaca
Lineage: Eukaryota; Fungi; Basidiomycota; Agaricomycetes; Boletales; Hygrophoropsidaceae
Also listed under: 1 other name
Description: partial 5.8S ribosomal RNA
Rfam family: 5.8S ribosomal RNA
About the family: 5.8S ribosomal RNA (5.8S rRNA) is a component of the large subunit of the eukaryotic ribosome. It is transcribed by RNA polymerase I as part of the 45S precursor that also contains 18S and 28S rRNA.
Source: RNAcentral